Molecule: unclassified non-coding RNA, 256 nt
Filed under: uncultured fungus
Lineage: Eukaryota; Fungi
Description: sequence contains ITS1, 5.8S rRNA gene
Rfam family: 5.8S ribosomal RNA (bases 208-256)
Source: RNAcentral
UUUCCGUAGGUGAACCUGCGGAAGGAUCAUUAUUGAGCCCUGCCCUCACGGGUAGACCUCCAACCCUGUGUAUUUAUACCAUUGUUGCUUCGGCAGGCCGUCUAGGUUUCGGCCUGGCUAUGGGCUUCGGCUCGUAAGUGCCCGCCAGAAGACCAAACCAAAACUCGUUUUUUUAGCGGCAUUCUGAGUCUAAAAACAAACUGUUAAAACUUUCAACAACGGAUCUCUUGGUUCUGGCAUCGAUGAAGAACGCAGC